UGACCUGCCCUUUAGUGGGGAAUAACAUCUCGAAAGAGAUGCUAAUACCGCAUAAGUUGUUCAUCGUUGGGUGAACAAGAAACGCUCUUCUUGAUCGGAGAGUGGCUAGAGGAGGGGUCUGCGGCGGAUUAGCUAGUUGGUGGGGUAACGGCCCACCAAGGCGACGAUCCGUAGCUGGUCUGAGAGGACGGCCAGCCACACUGGGACUGAGACACGGCCCAG
RNAcentral lists this ribosomal RNA (222 nucleotides) under uncultured bacterium. RNAcentral describes it as "partial 16S ribosomal RNA". It matches the Rfam family "Bacterial small subunit ribosomal RNA", at positions 122 to 334 of the family's 1533-position model. The record is from RNAcentral.